Molecule: transfer RNA, 73 nt
Filed under: Ailuropoda melanoleuca (giant panda)
Lineage: Eukaryota; Metazoa; Chordata; Mammalia; Carnivora; Ursidae
Rfam family: tRNA
About the family: Transfer RNA (tRNA) molecules are approximately 80 nucleotides in length.
Source: Rfam by way of RNAcentral
ACCUGGCUGGCUCAGUCGGUAGAGCAUGCAACUCCAGAUCUUGGGGACGUGAGUUCGAGCCCCACGUUGGGUG